This is a non-coding RNA of Camellia sinensis, 5348 nucleotides long. Lineage: Eukaryota; Viridiplantae; Streptophyta; Magnoliopsida; Ericales; Theaceae. The record is from RefSeq and is a predicted model, not a curated record.
AAGCUCCCAAAUCAUAUGGAGUGGAUAUACAAGUUCUUCAAUCUCAACUAACAUAAUAAAAUUCAGGUAUUUAGAUCAGAAAUGGCAUCAACUCAAUUGUGUAAAUGACUGGGAAUAAAAUUACAAAUUAUGAUGACAUUGAACAGAAGAAUCCCAAAAGAAUAUGACAAAACAAACAUUUUUCACCAAGACCUAUAAGCCUCACAGCCAAUCGAUUACAGAUAUAAAGAACACUCCCAAAGCCGCAAACAAACUGGGUUGAGUUGAGUAUUAGGAUGUUCAAGCUUGGUUUAAAUGAAAGUGGAUCAUAUACAAGUGAAGCUUAAGCUUUGGCUCUAGCUUAACUAAAAUGUUAAAGCUAGGUGUGUUCAUAUUUUGCCUAACCUGGCUCAUUCACAAGCCUAUCCAAUCCUGUUAUAAGGAUGCAUUAAUGACAGAAUAAAAUACUUCAAACGCGGCUAAUUUAGCAAAUUUUAAAUCCACUUCUAAAUCAUUAGUCAAUAUUUACUAACUUAAUGUUUAUUGCAGAAUAUUUACAUCAAGCAAGGUUCAAAAAUGUGUCCAUCACUACGAAUGCAUGGCACACAUGCCAAUUGCUCAAGAACCAAGUUGGCCUGAGUUUGGUGGUAUUAAAUUUUGGCUUAAUUGUCCAAUAGAGAUAACUUUCAUAAGAUUUGCAAAGUCAAUGGCCUUCAGAAAUGUAUCUGUUGGCAUGUCUUAGCUAGAAGGGUAGUUUCGUAAUAAAUAAAAGAGAUUAAGAGAGAAACCCCUAAGAUUAUUGUUCUCUCUUUUUGAUGAAGAACAAAAAUAUUGAAGAAAGAGAAAUAAACCACACGGAGAUUUAAAGAACCCUCAACACUUAAAUACACAAAGCAAUAAAAUUAAACUCUCAAUUAUUUCAAUCCAUUCAAAGCUGUCCAAUACAACUCAAACCCUCAAUAUUUAUAAGACACAGACUAAUCAAAUAGAAAAAUAUAUCUAAUAGCUAGGAAACCAAAUAUUAAUAAAAUCCUUAAUAAUAACCUAAUACCAUAAUAAUUCCUAAAAAUCCUAAGUUCCCAAAUUAACUUAAUUCCUUCCUCAUCCAACAUCUUCCUCAUACGCAUCACGUAUGUACCAGUUCUGACCUUUGUGGUCUUUUAUUACGACACGCUAUGGUGUUGGUUAUAACUUUUUUAUAACCUCUUGUGAUUAUUAUCUUGGUUAUGAUCGAAAAGGACUUUGGUUAUGCCUUAUGUAGUGUUUGGUUAUGACUCUUGGUUAUCAUUUGAUUACGACUCAUUGUGAUGAUUGAUUAUAACCUAUUGUUGUUGUUAUUUUGAUUAUGACCAAACAGAUCUUUAGUUACUCAUCAAUUGUUGUUUGGUUAUGAUCCAUCGUGGUAUUUUUAGUUAUGACUGAAAGUGAUUUGGUUAUAACACACUUUGUGGUAUUAACACCACAAAGUGUCAUAACUUGCAUACGGUACACCCUGUUUGGGGGAUGUGGUACACCCUUUAUGUCAUAAAAUGUCAUUACUUACAUAUGGUACACUAUUUUUCCAUAUUGUAUAAACAUCACUUUUCAUAAAUUAAUUAAUUAAUUUUUAGGUGUUGGGAAUUUUUAUUUAAAACAAAGACUUUGUUGUUUUGAAAUUGUAUUUUAUUUCCCUGAAAUUAUUAUAUGUUUUUCCCAAAAACACAUGAUAAAAUCCCUGAAAUUCAGGGUGUGCCAGACAGAAAAAGGACAAAAUGUACCAAUAUACUCCAGCAAAAAAAUAAAAAAUAAUUUGGAUCAACAACACAGAAUUUUAUUGAUAAAUCAAAAAAGAGAUGAGGCUGAGGCAUCCUCUACAAACAAGAAAAAGCAAAGGAAAGAGAAAAACAUAAUCCAAGCAAAGGCUACAUCAAACUCCAGCAAAAAUUUCCUACGAUGGUUAACAAUUUUCAUUUCCUAAUAUAUGUUAGUAGUCUGCAAUUACAUUUAUUUAAUCCAUAAACGAAUAACAUAUUCACAAUUUUCAAUUUCAUGGUCAUUGCCAUGUAGGUGACGUGAGAAAAAUCUAUGUUAGCUGGACUUGGGACAAAAGCUAGACUUUAUAUCUUCAAAACUUUUUUUUAAUCUUUUUAGAUAAAAUGAUAUUUAUAAACUAACAUAAAACAUUUAAUUUGCGAUUUUCUCACUCGUGAAUUUUUGUAGGGAUCAUCAUCAUAAUGGCAUGACCUUCCUAAGAGGAAGAGGCAGGAAUCCCUCUAAGCCCAGAACCCAUAUUGACUUAACAGAAGAUGUCUUUCCAUCUUUGGAUUCCUCUCCAACCAGCAAAACCGCAUCUCCUCAGCCUUUAAGGAAGUAAAUUUUAACAAGCAAAUGAAAAAUAUUUUUAGAAUACUUUUAUUGACGACAUGGUCUUAAUUGUUGAAGACUAACAUCGAACGGAUGUCUGAUCCAUAGGAAGUUAAGGAAAUAUAUUUGUCCACUCAACAAUUUCUUCCCCACUUUGAUCAUUAUCGAUAUUUAUGAAGGAAUCCUUUAGGAAACUGCAUCUAUGGAAAUUAUCUGUACACCAAUUUCUAAUGCACCAAAGAGUGCUUUGAAAUUCAGUUAUAUCUAACAACCACUAAAUGGGGAAUUAAUCCGAAUAAAUCCGUAACUUUGAAACUCACAGAACAACCCUAAAAUUAUUGGGAUUAUAUUGAGGCUUCUGAUAAGGUUUUCCUUUACCAAAACCCUAUCCAAAAACACUUUCGGUUUAUUAAACUUGACAAAUCUCUUCUGCAAACUGGAUUACCAAAUUGGCUCUUAAUUUGGUGGGAACACCAUGGUCCUACCAUUCAAAUUCUUCCAACUGAAAUCCAAGAUGAAUUUACCAGGAGGAUAGAUGGGGUGAUUCAGGUGAGAUCCAAUGUAGAUCCAACUUUCAAUUCAAUCGUGGGAUCCGGGCAGUCUACUAUACAUCCUCAAUUUAGAGGAAAAGAUAAUAUUGCAUUCGAAAAGAUAUUUCACACUUUAUUGUCAAUGAGAUCAGGGAAAUAUGAGGAAAUAUUUUUUCGAGAUUAGGGAGGUCAUUCAACAACAUAAUAAACAAUAUAUUGAUCUCAAUCCCAAGAUCACACCACUGAAUCCAAUGGAAGGGAACCCUUUGUCAUUAUUCAAAAUAUGAUUAGAAAACAAUAUCUGGAACUUUUAGAAACUAAAAUCAUUGCUAGAAGCUGAGAGUUUAUGAAAGAACAGUUCAUGUGUAAUGCCAACCUGAAAUCAAGGAUGAUGCAUACAUGACAUCAGCUCAUAAUGAUUAUAAUAACCAAUAGAGCUGUCUUGUUGGAGAAUCUCUGGACCUAGAACAUGACAAUUCUUCCACUCCUUUGGAGGACUACUAGAAUGCCAUGAAUGACCUAAUGAUGGAAAAGAUGAAAAAAGGAAAAGAUAAAGCCAUCUAGUCUUUUCGGCAUUUGACAACAGCACAUGGAGGCAACAUGAAGAAUCGUUCACUGUGGCCUCCAACCAAAACCAAGGUUCACUUGAAAAGUAGUAUUGUACAAAUAUUCUCAAUAAAGAAUACUGAAAAGUUGGCGUAAUAAUUUAGCACCAACACAUCAAGACAAUGAAGAUAACGAUUCCAGAUAGCGCAAUCGAUAGCAUCCACCUAGCACAUGCCAACUGUCUUUAAACCUUUCUUCCUUAUCCUUCUAGCAUCUAGAAACAUGUCUAUAAAAGGGAUAGUGUUUCACCCUUGUUGAAACACACUUUUUUCCCUAGUCAUCUCAUGUAAUAUCUAAAAUUUCUUCUCUUUGUAUGUUGUGCUUCCAACUCUAUAACCCUUUUAUGCAAAGCAAACAGGGAAGGGAGAAGGGAGAACGGGGAAGAUGGCUAUAAAAGCGUCCAAAAGCAUCAUUUAAGGGACAGCCAACAGUGGUUUUGUUGGGUAACAUUCCCCAGUACUUUCUUUGUCUCUAUUCACCGCUCACUUUGUUUUAAAGGAAUCCUCUCUCCUGCUGUGCAUCUUUGUACUUUUAAUAAACUUUCUCAAUGCCUUCAAAAAAAUUAUAUAUUGCACUGGACAACUGCCAGUGAUGUCUCACAAUGAAAAGAUAUUCCCAACCAUAAAAGCACUAUAAGUCAGAACUACCUGGGAUGUCUAUUCCCAUUAGAAUUGCAGAGACAACCAUUAAUUUGUCAUAUAACUAAAGUUGCUCGAACUUUCCUCACAAUGAAAAUUACAUCACCCAACAGAAAUCUUUAAAUGCAACUAAUGUUGCCCAAACUUUCCCAAAUCACAUAAAUAUCAUAAUGAACUAAAAGUCCCAAUCUCUUUUCAUCUCAUCUGCAGAAUCACUUGCGCUAUUCUCAAUGGUUGUCUUGUCAACCUCUCGUUUUUACUCCUCCACACGUUACUCCCCCAGCAGAUCUUUUUGAAUGUCUUUAUGCACAACACUAGGUUCAGGCUACAAAUAAUCAAACUUUGCUUUUUGAAUGUUGUUCGCUCUAGCUUCUUUAAGAAAAUUUUUUACUUUCCACCAUUGUUCUAACUAUGUCCACAUUUGUUAAACAAAUGCAUAUUCAUGUUUAAUUCAUUUUAGAACUUCAGUUUAUAAGGCAACAUGCUGACUUUUAUCUUUUAUUUAUUUAUUCAAUUACUUCAAUAUAUAAAUAUGUUAGAAGCAUGGAGGCAUCUAACCCAAAUCAAUUGGCCAUGGACAGAAGGGCUAUAACCAAGCUUGGGUAGUUAGAGAGGCAAUACAGAACAAGUCUUUAAAACCCCAAUAUGUGGCCCAAUUGCAUUUGGAGGUGAUAAAGAGAUGAACGAGAUGAGAUAAAUCAACCCGAGGUCAAUUUUGACCCGAGUAGCCACCCAAGACCCAAUUAUGAAAACUAAUUGGCAAUGAGUGGAGGGGCCCUUAGAUUAUAUGAACCAAACAUGGGCAGCUUAGAGAGGCAAUGUUGAACAAGCCUCUGACAAUAUAAAGUACUUUUUAAGUAUUACAUUCUCUCAAUAUCCCAAUCAUAGCAUUUUCAUCAAUAAGUUAUUUCAAAUGCAAGAAUUUGACAGCAAGAAUAUUACAAAAGAUGUAAAUAUAGCACAUGGAUGUUUAAAUGAGCUACAAACAUAGCAAAUUGGAAAAUACUACUGUUUGGCAACAUUGAAUUCAUGCCUUGGACAGAAUUGAAGCCUAUCAUAAUACAGAUUUUGAAAUAAGAUGACCUCCGACUCCAAAGUGUUGAUUCCAAAUUGCCGAACUCUUUUAAGUAUUCAUCAAAUCCCAAGAGCUCAUGCAUUGAUAUCUCAAAAUGUUUAAGGCAAAGCAACAGUAUAGUGCACAUAAGACUAAUACUUUUUCACAAAUUGUUAUCAUUUUUUAUAAUCAUGUUCA